This 375-nucleotide ribosomal RNA is filed under the name uncultured bacterium. RNAcentral describes it as "bacterial SSU rRNA". It matches the Rfam family "Bacterial small subunit ribosomal RNA", at positions 524 to 898 of the family's 1533-position model. The record is from RNAcentral.
GACGAACCGUCCUAACGUUGUUCGGAAUCACUGGGCUUAAAGGGCGCGUAGGCGGCCCUUCGAGUCGGGGGUGAAAUCCCACGGCCCAACCGUGGAAGGGCCUCCGAUACUGAAGGGCUCGAGGGAGGUAGGGGCAGGUGGAACUUCCGGUGGAGCGGUGAAAUGCGUUGAUAUCGGAAGGAACGCCGGUGGCGAAAGCGACCUGCUGGACCUCUUCUGACGCUGAGGCGCGAAAGCCAGGGGAGCGAACGGGAUUAGAUACCCCGGUAGUCCUGGCCCUAAACGAUGGGUACUAGGUUGUGGACUGGUCAUGGGUUCACAGCCGAAGCAAAAGUGUUAAGUACCCCGCCUGGGGAGUAUGGUCGCAAGGCUGAA